AAAACUCUAAAUUUUUCUCCAACCCUACUCUAUAUAGAACUCUAAAAUAGAGAAAUCAGCAGAAUUGUUUUAUAUAUAGAGUGACUAUAUUUUCUUCUAUGUUUUAGAGUUGAUUGUUUUAUUUAUACUUUAGUCCUUCAAAUUUAAUUUAAUUGAACCGUCCUUCUCUUCUUUGACUUUCCUUCUCUUCUCUGCCACGUUAUCAUCCACGUCAUCCUUCGCUUCCUCUAAAGAAUGCUGAAUCCGUUUUCUCACAUACGUCUGAUGAACCUUAUCACCCUUCUCGUGUGGCAUUUGCGGUGAGCUUUUGGCUGUAAAGGGCGAUUGGUGAACACAUGAGAAGAACUGUGGGAAAUAUUGGGUUUGCCGUUUGCGAUUAGGGUUCUGAUUUUAAACACAAACGUUUGGGCCUGGUUGUGGGCCUUAUCCGACUGGUUUUUUUAAUAGCAGACUUCUAAUUUAUCUGUCUCCAAAACUUUGUUCUUUUAAAUUUGGGCAUCUUUUGCUCUUCGCUUAUGGAGUAUCUAUUUACUUUAGAAUAAUAAUACAAUGUGGUAUCUAAUUGUUCCAAAUUAGGAACACGAAGUCUACCAUUACAUUUUUCAUCUCUAUAUUAGUUAAUAACACAAAGGUAUAAAUGAGAAAAUGGCCUUCAUUGUUUAUAAUAAUUACUACAAAUGUAAUUCAGAGAAAAUUAUCAUUAAUUGUCUCGUUUAAGAUAGAAUAGGGUUUGAAUUUAUCAAA
Molecule: small RNA, 744 nt
Filed under: Arabidopsis thaliana (thale cress)
Lineage: Eukaryota; Viridiplantae; Streptophyta; Magnoliopsida; Brassicales; Brassicaceae
Description: ATSL027890
Source: RNAcentral